RNAcentral lists this ribosomal RNA (253 nucleotides) under uncultured bacterium. RNAcentral describes it as "partial 16S ribosomal RNA". It matches the Rfam family "Bacterial small subunit ribosomal RNA", at positions 524 to 776 of the family's 1533-position model. The record is from RNAcentral.
UACGUAGGGCGCAAGCGUUGUCCGGAAUUAUUGGGCGUAAAGAGCUCGUAGGCGGCUUGUCACGUCGGGUGUGAAAGCCCGGGGCUUAACCCCGGGUCUGCAUUCGAUACGGGCUAGCUAGAGUGUGGUAGGGGAGAUCGGAAUUCCUGGUGUAGCGGUGAAAUGCGCAGAUAUCAGGAGGAACACCGGUGGCGAAGGCGGGUCUCUGGGCAAUAACUGACGCUGAGGAGCGAAAGCGUGGGGAGCGAACAGG